AAAGGUGUAGCUUAGCUGCUAAAAUUUUAAGGAAAAACAGAGCAGCAUAGCUGCUGAUUUUGAAGCAAAAAUAAGCAGCCUUAACUGCUAAAAAUUUAAAAGUUAAAAGGCAAGAAAGGGUGACCGGUGGUGAGAGGGAGAGAGAGGAAGAGAGUGGGACGGUUUGUGCAUGUGAAGAGAAGAAAAAGGAAGACAACAAGGCUGCUGGAC
RNAcentral lists this long non-coding RNA (210 nucleotides) under Theobroma cacao (cacao). RNAcentral describes it as "long non-coding RNA (TCAC_LNC004799)". Lineage: Eukaryota; Viridiplantae; Streptophyta; Magnoliopsida; Malvales; Malvaceae. The record is from RNAcentral.